AUACGGGGGGUGCAAGCGUUAUUCGGGUUUAUUGGGCGUAAAGAGCGCGUAGGCGGCUUGGUAAGUCAGAUGUGAAAGCCCGGGGCUCAACCCCGGAAGUGCAUUUGAAACUAUCAGGCUUGAGUAUGGGAGAGGGAAGUGGAAUUCCUGGUGUAGAGGUGAAAUUCGUAGAUAUCAGGAGGAACACCGGUGGCGAAGGCGACUUCCUGGACCAAUACUGACGCUGAGGCGCGAAGGCGUGGGGAGCAAACAGGAUUAGAAACCCGAGUAGUCC
This 274-nucleotide ribosomal RNA is filed under the name uncultured bacterium. RNAcentral's name for it is "partial 16S ribosomal RNA". It matches the Rfam family "Bacterial small subunit ribosomal RNA", at positions 523 to 796 of the family's 1533-position model. The record is from RNAcentral.